This 1030-nucleotide unclassified non-coding RNA is filed under the name Bombus terrestris (buff-tailed bumblebee). RNAcentral's name for it is "misc RNA ENSBTSG00005038388.1". Lineage: Eukaryota; Metazoa; Arthropoda; Insecta; Hymenoptera; Apidae. The record is from RNAcentral.
UACGCGCCUGGAUACCUUUUUCCACGAUCCUCUACCGUCUCUCCUGUCUCGCUCUUUCCAACAUUUUCUCCCUUUUUAUUGUUCCUUUCUUUCAUUCUGCGUUGUCGUCGCCUCGUCAAGAACAGUUCUUCUUAAUUUCUUCCGGGACUUAUUCUCUCAACCGUAUACCGUAACCUGAGAUCGUGUUAAACUUCAUCAAGGGUGAAGGAGCUUCCUUGUUGGUGCAAUUCUUUCUAAAAGGUUAAGAGCUCCACUUAUCCUUGCUGCAUGCGUAUUUAUGUGUUGUUCGGUGGCUGCGCAUGGCGUUGACGAAUGCUGAAAGGAUAUUGUUCGAAGAAAGACGCGUUGUAAUCGACUUACGGUCGAUCGAGGUGGCUUCUUUCAUCGAAUCCAAUCAGCAAGCCUCGGGUAUGAAACAGCGGGGACAUCCAUUCUCUCGCCUCCUUCGAUCGGCGUGCACAAUCGCGAAGGAUAGAAAACGCGCGACAGAGACGCACGAGGGCCAUCGAGCGGAAGAGGACCAUUGGUAAACAGGAAUUUCGGCGCGCUCUGGUCAAGACUCCGCAGGGACGUCGUUUAAUUUCCUCGAGGACAGCGGCGCGAUGUAUCGAGCGCGCGCGGAUGAACAGGCGACAUUUUUUAGUCUCCACUCGACGAGCGCCAGCCUUUUAAAGGCUUUUCUUGUGACCGUUUAGGCUAUUAGACGAGAACGAGCGUAGGGACGAGCGUGGUCAAAAAGGGUGGCCAUUUCCUAGCAAUUUCCUGACGCUGUUUUUCACGUGAACUUUUGAACUGUUCCCUUUCCUCUCCUACCCUGGCACCUUUUCACUGGAAAAUAUUCGCUAAGUAGCCACGGCAAGACUGGCCGAUUAUAAAUGGCCCACGCUCCGGCCUUUUAUGUCCAGAUGCGUCCUGUAUAUUUAAUGCGAGCUGGACAACGAUCCGUGUGCUUGGCGAACGAAAAAGACUCGAAAAUUAACGAGCUGUCUUGGUAGCUUGAGUUUCCGCCGAACAAAGUUUCCGGCCCCUG